Molecule: ribosomal RNA, 727 nt
Filed under: uncultured Planctomycetota bacterium
Lineage: Bacteria; Pseudomonadati; Planctomycetota
Description: bacterial SSU rRNA
Rfam family: Bacterial small subunit ribosomal RNA
Source: RNAcentral
CUUGAGCACGUAGGUGGGUUUGUAAGUCAGAUGUGAAAGCCUUCUGUUCAACGGAAGAAUUGCAUCUGAAACUACAAGUCUUGAGUGUAGGAGGGGAGAAUGGAACUUCUGGUGGAGCGGUGAAAUCCGUAGAUAUCAGAAGGAACGCCGGCGGCGAAAGCGAUUCUCUGGCCUAUUACUGACACUCAGUGUGCGAAAGCUAGGGGAGCAAACGGGAUUAGAUACCCCGGUAGUCCUAGCCGUAAACGAUGGGCACUAAGUAGUGGGAAUUACCGAUGUUCUCUCUGCCGUAGCUAACGCAUUAAGUGCCCCGCCUGGGGAGUACGGCCGCAAGGCUAAAACUCAAAAGAAUUGACGGGGGCUCGCACAAGCGGUGGAGCAUGUGGCUUAAUUCGAUGCAACGCGAAAAACCUUACCGGGGCUUGACAUGUUAGAAGUAGGAACCUGAAAGGGUAACGAACGGUAUCCAGUCCGUGACUAUCACAGGUGUUGCAUGGCUGUCGUCAGCUCGUGUCGUGAGACGUUGGGUUAAGUCCCCUAACGAGCGAAACCCUUGUUUUUAGUUACCAGCGGGUUAUGCCGGGUACUCUAGAAAGACUGCCGUCGUCAAGACGGAGGAAGGUGGGGAUGACGUCAAGUCAUCAUGGCCCUUAUGCCCCGGGCUGCACACGUGCUACAAUGGUCGGUACAAACGGAAGCGAAGCCGAGAGGUGAAGCGAAUCCAAGC